RNAcentral lists this long non-coding RNA (398 nucleotides) under Olea europaea (common olive). RNAcentral describes it as "long non-coding RNA (OEUR_LNC006047)". Lineage: Eukaryota; Viridiplantae; Streptophyta; Magnoliopsida; Lamiales; Oleaceae. The record is from RNAcentral.
UGCCAAUGAGUGAUGAAGAGGAACGAGUCGUCAUUCCUUAGCUAAACUAGAGAAAUGUCAAGUUAAAAACUAAAGAAUAUACAUCUUGCAUAAAGAAUGCCAGUAAUUAGCUAUAGAAUUUCAAGAAUCCUCUUCGGUCCAAUUUAUAAUGAUCAAGAAAUGAAAAUACAUUUUUACAUCCACAGAAAAUGUAAUAAAUACCACAGUAAUAUUUAAAUCAUUCAAAGGAGAUACAAAGUAUGACAAAAUCAUUAUGCUAAUGAGCGAUGAUCGAUGUAAGCUUCACACUUCAUUUUACGAUAAAUUGCCAAGAAAAAAUAGAAAACAAAUUUUGUAUCCAACAAUUAAAAAUAAACCGAAGUUCAUCAUAUGCUGUCGUCGCAUUCGGAACUAAUAUC